AGAGAGAGACAUGCGCGCAUAUCAAUAAGCGGAGGAAAAGAAACUAACAAGGAUUCCCCUUAGUAACGGCGAGUGAAGCGGGAAGAGCUCAAAUUUGAAAUCUUCAAGGUUUUACCUUGACGAAUUGUAGUUUAAAGAAGUGUUUUCUGCUGAAGUUUUGGUAAAAGUUCUUUGGAAUAGGACAUCAUAGAGGGUGAGAAUCCCGUAUUUGACCAUUAUUUUCAGCUUUGUGAUACACUUUCAAAGAGUCGGAUUGUUUGGGAAUGCAGUCCAAAAUGGGUGGUAAAUUUCAUCUAAAGCUAAAUAUUGGCGAGAGACCGAUAGCGAACAAGUACCGUGAGGGAAAGAUGAAAAGAACUUUGAAAAGAGAGUUAAACAGUACGAUGAAAUUGUCAAAAGGGAAGCGUUUGACACCAGUGUUGUUUUCUCGAAAAUCAAUUAAAAAUGGCUCGAUUUUGUAUUGUUGAGACCUUAAAAGCUCACUGUACAUUUUUCGUGUCUUUUUUAAUGCACUUUUCGUUUAACAAGUCAACAUCAGUUUCUUUUGUUGUAAAAGGGUCAUUGGAAGGUGGCUUUCUUUUCGGAGAAAGUGUUUAUAGCCUUUGGCCUCUGCAAUCGAAGAGACUGAGGUCUGCAGCGUAGACUCUUCGGGUUAGAUACAUUUGUGCUAAGUUAUAGCUUUUUAUAGACAACUUGUUGACUAUAAUUAGUCUUGUAGCUUACUCGCUUAUGCUAUUUUACCUACGCUUAGGAUGUUGAAGAUGUAGCACAUCAU
This 775-nucleotide ribosomal RNA is filed under the name uncultured Neocallimastigales. RNAcentral's name for it is "partial large subunit ribosomal RNA". It matches the Rfam family "Eukaryotic large subunit ribosomal RNA", at positions 23 to 634 of the family's 3401-position model. The record is from RNAcentral. Lineage: Eukaryota; Fungi; Neocallimastigomycota; Neocallimastigomycetes; Neocallimastigales.